RNAcentral lists this transfer RNA (76 nucleotides) under Burkholderiales bacterium. RNAcentral's name for it is "tRNA-Arg". It matches the Rfam family "tRNA". From Rfam's summary of the family: Transfer RNA (tRNA) molecules are approximately 80 nucleotides in length. Their secondary structure includes four short double-helical elements and three loops (D, anti-codon, and T loops). Lineage: Bacteria; Pseudomonadati; Pseudomonadota; Betaproteobacteria; Burkholderiales. RNAcentral also lists the same sequence under 1 other name. The record is from RNAcentral.
GCGCCCGUAGCUCAACGGACAGAGCACCGGCCUUCUAAGCCGGGGGCUGUGGGUUCGAUUCCCGCCGGGCGCGCCA